CGAACGGGUGAGUAACACGUGGGCAACCUUUCCUAUCGCGGGGGAUAACACCGGGAAACCGAUGCUAAUACCGCAUGUCGUCACUGAUCGCAGGGUUGGUGAAGAAAGCAGCAAUGCACGAUGGGGUGGGCCCGCGGCCUAUCAGCUAGUCGGUGGGGUAACGGCCUACCGAGGCGAUGACGGGUAGCUGGUCUGAGAGGACGGCCAGCCACACGGGGACUGAGACACGGCCCCG
RNAcentral lists this ribosomal RNA (235 nucleotides) under uncultured bacterium. RNAcentral's name for it is "partial 16S ribosomal RNA". It matches the Rfam family "Bacterial small subunit ribosomal RNA", at positions 99 to 334 of the family's 1533-position model. The record is from RNAcentral.